GAUGAACGCUGGCGGCGUGCCUAAUACAUGCAAGUCGAGCGAACGGACGAGAAGCUUGCUUCUCUGAUGUUAGCGGCGGACGGGUGAGUAACACGUGGAUAACCUACCUAUAAGACUGGGAUAACUUCGGGAAACCGGAGCUAAUACCGGAUGAUAUUUUGAACCGCAUGGUUCAAAAGUGAAAGACGGUCUUGCUGUCACUUAUAGAUGGAUCCGCGCUGCAUUAGCUAGUUGGUAAGGUAACGGCUUACCAAGGCAACGAUGCAUAGCCGACCUGAGAGGGUGAUCGGCCACACUGGAACUGAGACACGGUCCAGACUACUACGGGAGGCAGCAGUAGGGAAUCUUCCGCAAUGGGCGAAAGCCUGACGGAGCAACGCCGCGUGAGUGAUGAAGGUCUUCGGAUCGUAAAACUCUGUUAUUAGGGAAGAACAUAUGUGUAAGUAACUGUGCACAUCUUGACGUUACCUAAUCAGAAAGCCACGGCUAACUACGUG
Molecule: ribosomal RNA, 497 nt
Filed under: uncultured bacterium
Lineage: Bacteria
Description: partial 16S ribosomal RNA
Rfam family: Bacterial small subunit ribosomal RNA
Source: RNAcentral